UCUUCACAUUUUUUGGUUUCGUGUUUCUUUUUUGGUCACUAGACUAUUACACGGGUCCUGUUAGAAUUCUAUCUCAGAUUGGACACUGGUUCUACAAACUAAAGCAAGUACUAUAGUAAACAGACACUUAAACCACCGCCCUCUUUCUUCCUCUCCGUCAGCCACAUACGACCAAGUGGCUCUCUCUCCCAACAGAGAUUGACUUUGCAGACACAGUCCGAUAAUUAGCCCGCUGUAGAUACAGAAAAUAUAACAAAAACCCAUAUACAAAACUCUUUAAAACCUCAAGAUUUUUGAAGAAUUGAAGAGAUAGGAGCUGAUAUACCCUAUUGUGGAACAGAAUAUGUGAUGUACGUGUUUGCAAGUUUGGGUUUGGUUUUGUUUGCUGGGCUUAUGGCUGACCUUACUCUUGGCCUUGUGUCUCUUGGUCUUGUGGACCUUGAGGUUUUUAUCAAGUCUGGGCGGCCUCAAGAUCGUAAGCAUGAUGGUAUUUCUCGUGAUUCCAUGCACAAGAGGCGUGCCACUGGUGGAAAGAAGAAGGCCUGGAGGAAGAAGCGAAAAUGCAAUUUACAAAUGCUUUGGAGCUUCCAUUACAAAGGAGGAUAGCAAGAUUUGAAGCAAGGUGGCAUAUAGAUUUGUAUCAGAGAAGUCCUGAAAUGAUUCCUGUAGUUCUAGAAUUCGCAAAGUUGGACUUUAACUUCAUGCAGGAAUUUAACCAAAAAGAACUUAAAGUUUUGUCGAGUUAUAUAGUGAAGUUAUAAAUAUACUUAUUUAUAUGUAGUAUAAAGAUGGUAAUGCUUUAAUUUGAAUCAUCUGGCUGAACUUCAGGUGGGAUUUAAAGGCAGCAAUGAAAGAGCUUCCGGACUACAUGAAGCUAUGCUUUUUGUCUUUGUACAACUUUGUUAAUGAAACGUCUUACGACAUCCUCCUGAGCAGAACAUCGAUGUUUUACAGCAUCAAAGAAAAUGGUGGAUGGAUUUGUUACUGAAGCGUUAUAUAAUGGAGGCGCGGUGGUAUCAUGGUGGAUACCAGCCGACUCUAGAAGAACACUUGAGAAAUAGAUUUUGUAGGACUUUACUCCUACAUGUGUAGUGCUAAUCUGAUCAAGGAAGAUGUGAUGGAGUUUAUAGUGGAACUUCCGGAUAUUGUACGCUUGGCAUAUGAAAUUUUUCGACUAUCUGAUGACUAUGGAACUGGAUCAGUACUGAUCUGAUGCAGAGUAGAUAAUUCCUGAAGGCAAAUAUGCUGGUUUUUUACAUCGACUGCCCUUCUCAAGCCUCUCAAUUACAGUUAUGUGCCACUGCCUGUUCCUUGACUUUUGUCAACUUUUGUUUUACCUGUACACCCGGUCACAUUGCUUGCUGGAGGCUUCUUUAUUUUCAAAUAUCUGCAGUGUGAGCUUCAUAUUUUUUGGGCAGACUCCACAGCUAAAGAAAUAUGUUAGUGUGGAUCAGUUAUUGCUUGAUCGACGCCGCGACAUCUUCUCCUCCUUUCUUCUUUGUUGUCCUCCGAUAGAGGGGUUGAUGGAUUAUCAAGCAAAGGCUUUUGAUUAUGCUCAUGUUGCCGUUCUUGAUAGUUAUUCUUCUCCUUGCAUCUUCUCAAUACAACGAUAAUUCAUUUUCAUCUUUUAUUUGUUUCAGUCUUUAAAUGAUAGUAGUCCAAGUGUUUGAAUUUAUGACUAAGAGAGUUUUGACUACCGAGUUGUGAUGUGCUGAACAAAGUUUAUGAACUCUGGUCCCUCGUGAACUUUCUACUUCCGGAGAUUUUUAGUUCAGCAGAAACUUUAGAUGAAUGGUUUGCAAUCUCUGGGGAAAAUGACUAGGAAGAGGUCCUCCGUCCAUCCCUUCUGAGAAGGUUGAAGUCAGAUGUUGAGAAGGGCUUGCCUCGGAGGAUGGAGACAAUACUAAAGGUUGGUAUGUCCCAAAUGCAGAAGCAGUAUUUUAAGGCUUUAUUGCAGAAGGAUCUCUAGGUUGUAAGUAAGUUAUGUAGUUUUCUUUUGUUUUGGGCUAUAGUUGCUACAUACGGUAUUUUGUAUUACAUCUCAUUCUUUUUUGUACGUCUUUCAUCAAAGUCCAAUGUCUCAUAUAUUUUAUAUGUUUCACUUUUGUUAUACAGGCAUGACUUUCAGUUCUUUUAUACACAGAGGCUUACUGAGCUGUAUGAAAAAGAAGUUCGCUUUCUUAUGGUUGGUAUAAGCUGGUUUUACAAAUUUUCCAUAUAGUUAACUACAAAGAUAAUUGCUUUAUACAUUGUCCUACUUUGUGUGGACAUAAAUGUUUGGAUGGUAAUUUUGUUUUGCUUGCCGUGGCAAGUUAAUCAGAAGAAUCAAUCAAAAGAUUUAAUUGAAGCGGAUGAGCCUGAAGAGGUGGGAGACCCUUUGACCGCUGAGGAACAGGAAAAGAAGGAGCAGUUGUUUGAAGAGGUGAUACAGGAGUCUUUGUGUGGCUGUUAGUAUGUUUGUAAGUUACCUGAAAUUGCUCUGUACACUACAUUGCUACAUGUCUGAAACUGGUGUAACGGGUAUUUGACAUCUUCACGAUGUGAAGUAUUGGAAAGGAUGGAGAACAAAAUUGAUGAAAAUGAAUCCAUUGGCGUCAGGAAAUCAUCUCAGCCCGAAACUCCAAUUGAGAGACGUAAAGAUUUUGAGUAUUCUCCGUCACAAGAACGAUAUAAUGAAAAGUAUCACAGGACGAGUAGAUCAACAUCACGUGAACGAGAUAGGGAAAGGUCACGAUCUCAAAGCAUUAUUCAUGAUGUGCCAUUUUUGCAUACACAUCACCGGGAUGCUGCAUAUGAUACAGAGAGGAAGAGGACGUUAGGUUCUGAUGAAGAAACUAUAAGUAAACACCAAAGGGGGCUGCGUGCGAAGCAGAGACUCUUCAAGGGAUAAAAGAAGGGAGCGCAGUUUAAGCUAUGGUAGCAGUCUAGCAGACAUGGUGUACGCGUGGACGUCCACAUUCAGGAGACUUCUGAUUGUAAUAGAGAUAUAAAUUCGGAUGAUCGAGAAGUUGUUGAGGAAAAAGAUAGAAAUAGAGAGAGGAAGAGGGAGGAUAAGAGAGAGAGGGAGAGAAGCAGGGAGAUGGAAAAGAACAGAGAGAGGGAGAGAAGCAGGGAGAUGGGAAAAAACAGAGAGAGGGAGAGAAGAAGGGAAAAAACUAGAGGGAGGGAGACUGAGAGGUACAGAGAGAGGGAGCGGAAAAGGGACAGGAAUAAAUAGAGGGAGAGGGAGCGGAGGAGGGACAAGAGUAAUGAGAGGGAGAGGGAGAGGGAGAGAGAUAGAGAUAGGAGGGGGAGAGAGGGAGAAAGAAGGGACAAAGAAUGAAAUAGAGAUAGGGAGAAAGAGGAUGAUCAGGAUAUUAGCUACCAUAAAUAUUAUGAUGCUGAUAACAUUGGCGAUCAAGAAAGGCAUAAUGAUCAAAGGCGCCAGAGGUCAGAUGAUAAGGAGUACAGGGACAGAGUAAGGAAAAAUGAAAAUGAACCGAUUCAAAGCUAUGAGACUGAUCAUUUGGAGAGGAGCACUCAAAAAUUACACAGACUUGGCAAAGGUUUUGAUUUAACCUCAGACUUUCGACUCAAAUAAUGCAAAGGUAAAGCCAGUUUAGUCUGUCUGAAUCAAGACCAGACCAGGCAUUAAUUUGUCAGUACCAGGUUUCGGACAGUUUGAUGAUGUCUCAACUGACAUCAAAUGUGGCAAAGGAGAUCGAACUCGAUAUCAGUCACAUAUUCUUGAUUUUAAUCAGAUGUCGGAGUUUAUGAACCAGAAAUGCUCUGUUCCUGGAAAGAUUCCUUCGAGUUGGUUUAACUCCAUGUUUGGUUUCGAGAGUGAAUCAUAGGAGAGUGAUGCUGCAAUAACAAAGUAUCUAGGAUUAGAUGGUUACUUUAUAUUGUUAUUUGACCUUAUAAAUAGAUAUCAUCUGCAACUUCUGGAUGAGGUAUUUUUUUUGGUGUUAUUUUUA
This is a long non-coding RNA of Daucus carota subsp. sativus, 3956 nucleotides long. RefSeq lists it as uncharacterized. The transcript has 11 exons. The record is from RefSeq and is a predicted model, not a curated record. Lineage: Eukaryota; Viridiplantae; Streptophyta; Magnoliopsida; Apiales; Apiaceae.